CCUACGGGUGGCAGCAGUAGGGAAUAUUGCUCAAUGGGGGAAACCCUGAAGCAGCAACGCCGCGUGGAGGAUGAAGGUUUUCGGAUUGUAAACUCCUUUUGUUAGAGAAGAUAAUGACGGUAUCUAACGAAUAAGCACCGGCUAACUCCGUGCCAGCAGCCGCGGGAAUACGGAGGGUGCAAGCGUGACUCGGAAUCACUGGGCGUAAAGAGCGUGUAGGCGGGUUAGCAAGUCAGAUGUGAAAUCCUAUGGCUUAACCAUAGAACUGCAUUUGAAACUGUUAUACUAGAGUACGGGAGAGGUAGGUGGAAUUCUUGGUGUAGGGGUGAAAUGCGUAGAGAUCAAGAGGAAUACUGAUGGCGAAGGCGACCUGCUAGAAUGUAACUGACGCUGAUGCGCGAAAGCGUGGGGAGCAAACAGGAUUAGAUACCCCUGUAGUC
RNAcentral lists this ribosomal RNA (440 nucleotides) under uncultured bacterium. RNAcentral's name for it is "partial 16S ribosomal RNA". It matches the Rfam family "Bacterial small subunit ribosomal RNA", at positions 338 to 795 of the family's 1533-position model. The record is from RNAcentral.